This 497-nucleotide ribosomal RNA is filed under the name uncultured bacterium. Its description in RNAcentral is "partial 16S ribosomal RNA". It matches the Rfam family "Bacterial small subunit ribosomal RNA", at positions 28 to 507 of the family's 1533-position model. The record is from RNAcentral.
GAUGAACGCUGGCGGCGUGCCUAAUACAUGCAAGUCGAGCGAACGGACGAGAAGCUUGCUUCUCUGAUGUUAGCGGCGGACGGGUGAGUAACACGUGGAUAACCUACCUAUAAGACUGGGAUAACUUCGGGAAACCGGAGCUAAUACCGGAUAAUAUUUUGAACCGCAUGGUUCAAAAGUGAAAGACGGUCUUGCUGUCACUUAUAGAUGGAUCCGCGCUGCAUUAGCUAGUUGGUAAGGUAACGGCUUCCCAAGGCAACGAUGCAUAGCCGACCUGAGAGGGUGAUCGGCCACACUGGAACUGAGACACGGUCCAGACUCCUACGGGAGGCAGCAGUAGGGAAUCUUCCGCAAUGGGCGAAAGCCUGACGGAGCAACGCCGGGUGAGUGAUGAAGGUCUUCGGAUCGUAAAACGCUGUUAUUAGGGAAGAACAUAUGUGUAAGUAACUGUGCACAUCUUGACGGUACCUAAUCAGAAAGCCACGGCUAACUACGUG